UACGUAGGGUGCGAGCGUUAAUCGGAAUUACUGGGCGUAAAGCGUGCGCAGGCGGCUUUGUAAGACAGGUGUGAAAUCCCCGGGCUUAACCUGGGAACUGCGCUUGUGACUGCAAGGCUUGAGUGCGGCAGAGGGGGGUGGAAUUCCACGUGUAGCAGUGAAAUGCGUAGAGAUGUGGAGGAACACCGAUGGCGAAGGCAGCCCCCUGGGUCGACACUGACGCUCAUGCACGAAAGCGUGGGUAGCAAACAGG
RNAcentral lists this ribosomal RNA (253 nucleotides) under uncultured bacterium. RNAcentral's name for it is "partial 16S ribosomal RNA". It matches the Rfam family "Bacterial small subunit ribosomal RNA", at positions 524 to 776 of the family's 1533-position model. The record is from RNAcentral.